This 99-nucleotide small nucleolar RNA is filed under the name Huiozyma naganishii CBS 8797. Its description in RNAcentral is "Kazachstania naganishii CBS 8797 Small nucleolar RNA snR79". It matches the Rfam family "Small nucleolar RNA snR79". The record is from Rfam by way of RNAcentral. Lineage: Eukaryota; Fungi; Ascomycota; Saccharomycetes; Saccharomycetales; Saccharomycetaceae.
UUAAAUGAUGAUAUAAAAUGUUGCUGGAAGGUUAAUGUCUUAAUUGUUUUAACCGAUGUGAGCACAUGAUUUCUCAAUAGACUACAACGGUAUCUGAUA